UGGUGAUGUAGACACUGAUGCUAGUUAAUUUAAGGUGGGGCUGCUGAAAUGUUUAAAAGCUGAAGCCCCCAAAGUUUUACUUGUCUGUGACACAAAUGAGCUCCAACCUGCUCAGGUAGAAUUUACUAACAGCUGAGCUGCACUAGACCUGGUCUCUGCUCAUCUUGACUCCUCGUUUGAGCAUUUCAUUUACUGAAGACAUCUUCACCAUCCGCUGUUCCAGACGACUGACUCGUGCCUGAACUCCUGCAGGUUAAUCAACCAACCACUGAUCAGUAAAGCAAAAAGUACGGAAACAAUGAGGAUCAUGUUUACCUGUUUGCUGCUUGUGCUGCCCUUUGUUACUGGACUCUCAAAACCAGC
Molecule: non-coding RNA, 363 nt
Organism: Maylandia zebra (zebra mbuna)
Lineage: Eukaryota; Metazoa; Chordata; Actinopteri; Cichliformes; Cichlidae
Source: RefSeq, a predicted model, not a curated record